This 473-nucleotide ribosomal RNA is filed under the name uncultured delta proteobacterium. RNAcentral's name for it is "bacterial SSU rRNA". It matches the Rfam family "Bacterial small subunit ribosomal RNA", at positions 400 to 863 of the family's 1533-position model. The record is from RNAcentral. Lineage: Bacteria; Deltaproteobacteria.
CGUGAGUGAUGAAGGCUUUCGGGUCGUAAAGCUCUGUCAAGUGGGAAGAAACCAUAUGGUAUUAAUACCGCCAUAUGUUGACGGUACCAUUGAAGGAAGCACCGGCUAACUCCGUGCCAGCAGCCGCGGUAAUACGGGGGGUGCGAGCGUUAUUCGGAUUUACUGGGCGUAAAGAGCGCGUAGGCGGUCUUUUAAGUCAGGUGUGAAAGCCCGGGGCUCAACCCCGGAAGUGCACUUGAAACUAAGAGACUUGAGUAUGGGAGAGGGAAGUGGAAUUCCUGGUGUAGCGGUGAAAUGCGUAGAUAUCAGGAGGAACAUCGGUGGCGAAGGCGACUUCCUGGACCAGUACUGACGCUGAGGCGCGAAGGCGUGGGGAGCAAACAGGAUUAGAUACCCUGGUAGUCCACGCAGUAAACGGUGAACACUAGGUGUAGCGGGUAUUGACCCCUGCUGUGCCGCAGCAAACGCAUUAA